Molecule: ribosomal RNA, 397 nt
Filed under: uncultured bacterium
Lineage: Bacteria
Description: partial 16S ribosomal RNA
Rfam family: Bacterial small subunit ribosomal RNA
Source: RNAcentral
AUACGUAGGUGGCAAGCGUUGUCCGGAUUUAUUGGGCGUAAAGCGAGCGCAGGCGGUUCUUUAAGUCUGAUGUGAAAGCCCCCGGCUCAACCGGGGAGGGUCAUUGGAAACUGGAGGACUUGAGUGCGGAAGAGGAGAGUGGAAUUCCAUGUGUAGCGGUGAAAUGCGUAGAUAUAUGGAGGAACACCAGUGGCGAAGGCGGCUCUCUGGUCUGUAACUGACGCUGAGGCUCGAAAGCGUGGGGAGCAAACAGGAUUAGAUACCCUGGUAGUCCACGCCGUAAACGAUGAGUGCUAAGUGUUGGAGGGUUUCCGCCCUUCAGUGCUGCAGCUAACGCAUUAAGCACUCCGCCUGGGGAGUACGGCCGCAAGGCUGAAACUCAAAGGAAUUGACGGGG